UUUUUCAUCAUUUGGGUAUCUUACGAUGAGAAUUUCCCAGAUUGUCCAGCCCAGAAUUGUUGGUGACUAUACUUUGUAAAGUUAGGUUUUUUUUUUAUUUUACGGCGUUGUGGAUUGUUGUGUGCUAGUACAUUUACAAUUCUGGUUUUUAUCAUCAGUUAUAUAGUUCCGAUGAGAAUUUACAGAGCAGAAGAUGCAUGUUGGAGAUAGAUACUUGGAAGAAUUAGGGUUGUGUUAAACUACAUUUAGAAUUUUAGAUAUAGUAGACGAUGGAAAAUUUGGCAGGUGAAAGUUAGGUUAGCGUGAGUUCUUGAAUGAGAACUAGAUGGAUUCAAAUCGGGACUGCAAUUUCUCUCUGGGCUAGAAAAAGCCAGUGUUUGUGAAGUUCUUAGAACCUCUGCUAAGUGACCCUCAACCAUUUUUGUAUGGCUUUGUUCUUUGAUGCAGCUGCUGAC
Molecule: long non-coding RNA, 455 nt
Filed under: Eutrema salsugineum
Lineage: Eukaryota; Viridiplantae; Streptophyta; Magnoliopsida; Brassicales; Brassicaceae
Description: long non-coding RNA (ESAL_LNC001662)
Source: RNAcentral